RNAcentral lists this ribosomal RNA (259 nucleotides) under uncultured bacterium. Its description in RNAcentral is "partial 16S ribosomal RNA". It matches the Rfam family "Bacterial small subunit ribosomal RNA", at positions 524 to 776 of the family's 1533-position model. The record is from RNAcentral.
UACGAAGGGGGCUAGCGUUGUUCGGAAUUACUGGGCGUAAAGCGUGCGCAGGCGGCUUCUCAAGUCAGGGGGUGAAAGCCCAGAGCUCAACUCUGGAAUUGCCUUUGAGACUGAGUGGCUUGAGUACGAGAGAGGUGAGUGGAAUUCCCAGUGUAGAGGUAGAAAUUCGUAGAUAUUGGGAAGAACACCGGUGGCGAAGGCGGCUCACUGGCUCGUAACUGACGCUCAUUGGCAACGGACAGCGUGGGGAUCAAACAGG